RNAcentral lists this ribosomal RNA (253 nucleotides) under uncultured bacterium. RNAcentral describes it as "partial 16S ribosomal RNA". It matches the Rfam family "Bacterial small subunit ribosomal RNA", at positions 524 to 776 of the family's 1533-position model. The record is from RNAcentral.
UACAGAGGUCUCAAGCGUUGUUCGGAUUCAUUGGGCGUAAAGGGUGUGUAGGUGGCGCGCUAAGUCGGGUGUGAAAUUUCGGAGCUUAACUCCGAAACUGCAUUCGAUACUGGCGUGCUUGAGGACUGGAGAGGAGACUGGAAUUCAUGGUGUAGCAGUGAAAUGCGUAGAGAUCAUGAGGAAGACCAGUGGCGAAGGCGGGUCUCUGGACAGUUCCUGACACUGAGACGCGAAAGCGUGGGGAGCGAACAGG